RNAcentral lists this transfer RNA (77 nucleotides) under Jeotgalibacillus soli. RNAcentral describes it as "tRNA-Pro". It matches the Rfam family "tRNA". Rfam says of the family: Transfer RNA (tRNA) molecules are approximately 80 nucleotides in length. Lineage: Bacteria; Bacillati; Bacillota; Bacilli; Caryophanales; Caryophanaceae. RNAcentral also lists the same sequence under 1 other name. The record is from RNAcentral.
CGGGGAGUAGCUCAGCUUGGUAGAGCACUUGGUUUGGGACCAAGGGGUCGCAGGUUCGAAUCCUGUCUUCCCGAUCA